RNAcentral lists this long non-coding RNA (864 nucleotides) under Mytilus galloprovincialis (Mediterranean mussel). Lineage: Eukaryota; Metazoa; Mollusca; Bivalvia; Mytilida; Mytilidae. The record is from RNAcentral.
UUGUCCCAGGGCUCUACAGGCUUUUGUUGGUGCUUACUUUGGGGAAGGAACUGGUCCAGUUUUUCUCGAAAAUUUAGGAUGUAGCGGAAAUGAAAAACAUCUUGAUAGUUGCUCCGCGAGUGGCUUAUUUUCGACUUCCUGUAGACAUAGCCACGAUGUUGGUGUAGCUUGUCUGAGUAAGUACAUUUUAUGUCUCAUUUCAGUGGAAUUUUAAAGUGUAUUUUAUUGAAGAUAUAAAUGAUGUGAGGUCAUACCAUUUUUGGCAUUUGCUUAUUGUAAUAGCGGGAGUUUAUGGCGCAACAAUAUAUAUCGACUUAUGUAAAAACAACCGAUUAAUUUUUGAAAAUAGGGAAAUCAAAACCUCACCAUUACUAACGAUAGAUGCAUAAGAAUCUAAAACAUAUGACAACGACUUCAUUGAUAAUUCUUGAAUGAAACUGAACUUCGAUAAAGACAAUAUGGUGGUAUCUUAAUGACUCUGUUAUGCUGCUUUUCUGUGUUUUAUGGUUGACGAACCAUUCUUGUACAACCGACAUAUGCUUGCUUUCUUCAAACAAAUUUUAAUUUAAACUUAAAAAUAGUCGUAAAAAUCGAUAUGAAAUAUUACAAACUGAUGGACGGUAUAGGAAACAUAUUUGAUAAAAUACAUAAGAUUCCUCUUGUUAACAUAGAAGACUUUUAAAAUACUACAUGCAUUACAGUCAUGUAUAUAUUUUUAACAUGUUUAAUGCAAAUAUCGAAAUUAAAUAAACGAUUCGGUGAUUGUAAAUCAACUUCUAACCUUUACUUGCACAUUGCUUGCUGUAUUUGAGCACUAAAUCAUUGAAUAUUUCCAGGUGGAAAUAGUACUGAUGUCGUACAAGG